GGACGACGCUGGCGGCGUGGAUUAGGCAUGCAAGUCGGACGGUAGGGCUUUAUCGUAAGAUAGAGUUUGAGAGUGGCGAACGGGUGAGUAACACGUAGGAAUCUACCCUUAAGACGGGGACAACCCAGGGAAACUUGGGCUAAUACCGGAUGAGAGUGCGAGAGAUUGCAUUUAAAAGGAUGGCGAAAGUUGUCGCUUAGGGAUGAGCCUGCGGUCUAUUAGUUAGUUGGUGAGGUAAGAGCUCACCAAGGCGAUGAUAGAUAGGCGGCCUUAACGGGUGGUCGCCCACACUGGGAUUGAGAUACGGCCCAGACUCCUACGGGAGGCAGCAGCUAAGAAUAUUCCGCAAUGGACGGAAGUCUGACGGAGCGACGCCGCGUGGAUGAAGAAGGCCGAAAGGUUGUAAAGUUCUUUUGCUAGGGGAGAAUAAGUGUGGGAGGGAAUGCCUGCACGAUGACAAGGACUAGCGAAUAAGUCCCGGCCAACUACGUG
RNAcentral lists this ribosomal RNA (492 nucleotides) under uncultured bacterium. RNAcentral describes it as "bacterial SSU rRNA". It matches the Rfam family "Bacterial small subunit ribosomal RNA", at positions 33 to 507 of the family's 1533-position model. The record is from RNAcentral.